UGGGGAAUUUUGCACAAUGGGGGAAACCCUGAUGCAGCGACGCCGCGUGAUUUAGAAGGCCUUCGGGUUGUAAAAAUCUUUUCUAUGGGAAGAAAAUGACAGUACCAUAGGAAUAAGGACCGGCUAAUUACGUGCCAGCAGCCGCGGUAAUACGUAAGGUCCGAGCGUUGUCCGGAAUCAUUGGGCGUAAAGGGUACGUAGGCGGGUAAGCAAGUUAGAAUUGAAAUCCUAUAGCUCAACUAUAGUAAGCUUUUAAAACUUCUCAUCUUGAGGUAUGGAAGGGAAAGUGGAAUUCCUAGUGUAGCGGUGAAAUGCGCAGAUAUUAGGAGGAAUACCGGUGGCGAAGGCGACUUUCUGGCCAUAACCUGACGAUGAGGUACGAAAGCGUGGGUAGCAAACAGG
RNAcentral lists this ribosomal RNA (402 nucleotides) under bacterium. RNAcentral's name for it is "partial 16S ribosomal RNA". It matches the Rfam family "Bacterial small subunit ribosomal RNA", at positions 355 to 776 of the family's 1533-position model. The record is from RNAcentral.